CUCUCUUCUUUUCUUCUUCAUUCUUCUUCUUUCUCUUUUUCUUCUUCUCUUCUGCUUCUGUUUCUGAGUUCUGAUUCAGAGGCCGCGUCAUCGGAAGAAAGUUAAGGGAAACUUUAAGGUUUGGUUAUUAGUGAUGGGGUUGAUGUUAUUUGAGUCGGGAUGAAGAGGAUAGUGUUGAUGUCGUAAUUGAAAUUAGGGUUUGGAGAUUUAGGUUUGGUUUUAAUUGGAUUUGAUUAGUAAUUGAGUUAUUAACAGUUAUGAGAUGAAGGGGAUGAUGUUUAAUUGAAGUUGCAGAGUCGCUCUGGUGAUUGAAUCCAGAGUUAGGGUUUGUAAGAAAUUCAGAGAAGCUUUAGAAGAUGAAGCUGAUGUUUAAGAAAGGUGAUUUGAAGAUGGGUAUUGCGUUAAUUUAACAGUUUAGGUGUUGAGUUGAUAAAUCAGUGAAUUAGGAUUUAUGGGGAGAGUCAUGGAAGAUGAAAUUGAAGGUUUAGAAGAUCAAUUGGAGGUGGAUUUAACUCGAACUAAGAGUUAAGGUUGAAGUAUAACUUGAGUUUGGAAGACAGGGUUUUGAAUUUGAAGUUGAGGUUCUUGUUAUGAAACCAGGGUUUUAUAUUCUGUUUCAAAUGAUGAAUCAAGGUUCAUGGAUUGAAUAUUAGCUCAAGGAGUUGGAAUUUGUGAAGAGGAAUUAAAAUAGGAAGUUCCCUGAUUCAGAUUAAGGCAGAGAAGAAUUUGAUCCUAAACUGAUUAGGGGAGAAACCAUUUCAAGGUAAUUGUUCUUCUUAGUUCAGUUAGUAAUACUUAUAUGUUUCCAAUUUGAGUUCAUGGAUUUUGAGAUGCUGAACUUGGAAUUGUUGAUACACAUGGAGUUGUAUUGAUUUGUGGUUAACUGAACAAGAGAAUUGUGUUGGUGAAUUGUAUAAGUUACAGUUGAGAAUACAGAUUGUUUUAGUGGUUGAAUUAGAUUGAGAUAGGGAUGUGGUUUUGUUUGAAGAUGUCUGUUAUUGUAUGUUGUUGAAAAAGUGGUUGAUUAUCGAGGCCCUGAUUGAAUGGCAAUGCUGGUUUGAGUGGUAAGGGUAAUUGAAGUUUGAUUGUAAAUCUCAAGCGGAGUCUGGUGGUAUUUUAUUGCGGUGUCAGUUAGGUAAUGAUGUUAUUGAAGAUGCGGGGAAUAAAAAGUUGUAGUGAAGUAAGAAGGGUUAUGGAUGCACAAGUUGAGUUGAGAUGUUAGAUGAAUGUUAGGCUAAGACUUGGGUAUGGUGUUGGUGUAACUGGUGGUGAUUCAGUUGGGCGGGAUGUGUUGCUUAUGUUGAUUUUAGAUAUGGCUUGGUACUGCAAUGGCAGGUAAAGCUUAAAUUACAAUUGUAUAUUGAAUUAUGGGAUUCUGUUGAAAUGAAUGUAUUGUUGAAGUGUAGAUAAGAAGAAGAAUCUGAAUUAGUAUGUUGAAUUGAAUCUCCUCAGUGGAAGCUUGCAACUGCAUUUGCAGUUAGCCUAUAUUAACGACGAUCGGUUCAAAGGACGAACCAAUGGAUCGUGGAUCUCGAGGUAGGCGUGGCUUGUGAUCAAAAGAGUUUCAGUGACAGAUUCAGAGUAGCGCAGCGAAAGCUUCAAGGAUUGAGUUCAUUAUUUGAUUAACUUCGGAUAUGUUUGUUAUGUUGUAUUUUUUAUUUGUAAAACAAAUGACUGUUAUAUAUGUAUCAUUUGAGAGGAGUUCUUGUUUAUGUAUAUUCCAGAACGGGGUUAGUUUUUGGGUUAACUUUUGUAGCAGUUUUCUUAAUUGAAUGUUUAAGUAAAUGAUUUAGAUUCUUA
Long non-coding RNA from Papaver somniferum (opium poppy), 1800 nucleotides. RefSeq lists it as uncharacterized. The transcript has 3 exons. Lineage: Eukaryota; Viridiplantae; Streptophyta; Magnoliopsida; Ranunculales; Papaveraceae. The record is from RefSeq and is a predicted model, not a curated record.